This 74-nucleotide transfer RNA is filed under the name Chitinophagaceae bacterium. Its description in RNAcentral is "tRNA-Met". It matches the Rfam family "tRNA". From Rfam's summary of the family: Transfer RNA (tRNA) molecules are approximately 80 nucleotides in length. Their secondary structure includes four short double-helical elements and three loops (D, anti-codon, and T loops). RNAcentral also lists the same sequence under 1 other name. The record is from RNAcentral. Lineage: Bacteria; Pseudomonadati; Bacteroidota; Chitinophagia; Chitinophagales; Chitinophagaceae.
GGUGGGAUAGCUCAGCUGGUUAGAGCAUCGGAUUCAUAACCCGAAGGUCGGCAGUUCAAGUCUGCUUCCCACUA